GGUAAGACGUAGGAUGCAAGCGUUAUCCGGAAUUAUUGGGCAUAAAGAGUUCGUAGACGCUUUGUUAAGUUGGAUGUUAAAUUUUUGAGCUCAACUUACAAAAAGGUAUCCAAAACUGGCAAACUGGAGACUGGUAGAGGUAAGUGGAAUUCUGCAUGUAGGGGUAAUAUCCGUAGAUAUGCAGAGGAACACCAAAAGCGAAGGCAGCUUACUGGACCAGUUCUGACGCUCAAGAACGAAAGCGUGGGUAGCGAACGGGAUUAGAUACCCCGGCAGUCCACGCCCUAAACGAUGAACACUAGGUAUUGGAGGUCUCGACCCCUUCAGUGCCGACGCAAAUGCAAUAAGUGUUCCGCCUGGGUAGUACGAGCGCAAGCUUAAAACUCAAAGGAAUAGACGGGGACCCACACAAGCGGUGGAGCAUCUGGUUUAAUUCGACAAUAAGCGAGGAACCUUACCAAGGCUUGACAUCCCGAGAAGAUCGCCGAAAGGUGAUUGUGCCGUUAGGAACUCGGUGACAGGUGCUGCAUGGUUGUCGUCAGCUCGUGCCUUGAGGUGUUCGGUUAAGUCCGUGAACGAGCGCAACCCUUGUCUCAAGUUGCAUAUUUCUUGAGAGACUGCCGGUUUCAACUCGGAGGAAGGUAAGGAUGACGUCAAAUCAGCAUGGCCCUUAUGUCUUGGGCGACACAGGUGCUACAAUGGCCGGUACAAUGGGCAGCGAAGGAGCAAUCUGGAGCAAAUCCUCAAAACCGGUCCAAGUUCGAAUUGAAGGCUGCAACUCGCCUUCAUGAAGUUGGAAUCGCUAGUAACCGCAUAUCAGCCAUGGUGCGGUGAAUCUGUUCCUGGGUCUUGUACUCACCGCCCGUCAAGUCAUGAAAGAUGGGGGUGCCCGA
Molecule: ribosomal RNA, 893 nt
Filed under: uncultured organism
Description: bacterial SSU rRNA
Rfam family: Bacterial small subunit ribosomal RNA
Source: RNAcentral